UAUAGCAUAACCAAAUCCUUUUUGAAGUUGGGAGAAAAUGUGGUCUCAAAUGGCCUCUCUUAGUACUCUCGCACUUGUAUUGGCUUUACUCUCUCUGAGCUUGCCAUCUCAAACCUCAGCAGACAAAGAUGGUUAUUCAUAUCCUCCACCGCCACAAAAGAAGCCCUAUUACUACCACUCUCCACCACCCCCACCCUCUAAGAAACCUUACUAUUACCACUCUCCUCCACCACCAGUGUACUCACCUCCCAAGCAUCCUUACCAUUAUUCUUCACCACCACCACCACCUAAGAAACCUUACAAACCUCCAUACAAGUACACUUCUCCUCCUCCACCACCUAAGAAACCAUAUAAGUAUCCAUCUCCCCCUCAUCACUACUAGAUAGUCACUUAGUAUACCAUCCAACGGUAAGCUUCAAAGAUCUGAAGAACAUGUGCAAAUAAAGGAGAUGGAUGGAUGGAAGAAGCACCAAAUAGUUUAUACAGUGAAGAGUGGAACAUGUUUUGUGAAAGUAGUGUUAAUUUGCUUUCAACUUCAUUUAUUUUGUAGUAUUUGUACUCAAAGUUUUAAGGCACAUGUUCACUUCUGAUUCAUGUAUCUCGUUGUCCUGCUUGUGUUGUGGUUUUCUAACUGCUGGAUAUGCAGAGACAACUUUUACGCCAUUUAUAUAAUGUAAUAAAUAAAUACUUUGAAUUGUGCUUC
Cajanus cajan (pigeon pea) is the source of this 703-nucleotide non-coding RNA. The record is from RefSeq and is a predicted model, not a curated record. Lineage: Eukaryota; Viridiplantae; Streptophyta; Magnoliopsida; Fabales; Fabaceae.